RNAcentral lists this non-coding RNA (45 nucleotides) under Schistosoma mansoni. Lineage: Eukaryota; Metazoa; Platyhelminthes; Trematoda; Strigeidida; Schistosomatidae. The record is from RNAcentral.
AUCGAGCUGAGGUGUCCCGAAUAGGACGAAACGCGUGUCGUGGAU